GCGUGAGUGAUGAAGGCCUUAGGGUUGUAAAGCUCUUUCAGAUGUGAGGAUGAUGACAGUAGCAUCAGAAGAAGCCCCGGCUAACUCCGUGCCAGCAGCCGCGGUAAUACGGAGGGGGCUAGCGUUGUUCGGAUUUACUGGGCGUAAAGCGCGCGUAGGCGGCGCUUCAAGUCAGAGGUGAAAUCCCGGGGCUCAACCCCGGAAUUGCCUUUGAAACUGAAGUGCUUGAGUUCUAGAGAGGGUGGCGGAAUUCCAAGUGUAGAGGUGAAAUUCGU
RNAcentral lists this ribosomal RNA (275 nucleotides) under uncultured bacterium. Its description in RNAcentral is "partial 16S ribosomal RNA". It matches the Rfam family "Bacterial small subunit ribosomal RNA", at positions 399 to 691 of the family's 1533-position model. The record is from RNAcentral.